AAGUCGUAACAAGGUUUCCGUAGGUGAACCUGCGGAAGGAUCAUUACCGAGUUCUCGGGCUUCGGCUCGACUCUCCCACCCUUUGUGAACGUACCUCUGUUGCUUUGGCGGCUCCGGCCGCCAAAGGACCUCCAAACUCCAGUCAGUAAACGCAGACGUCUGAUAAACAAGUUAAUAAACUAAAACUUUCAACAACGGAUCUCUUGGUUCUG
RNAcentral lists this unclassified non-coding RNA (212 nucleotides) under Lasiodiplodia sp. RNAcentral's name for it is "partial internal transcribed spacer region". The stretch from base 1 to 46 matches the Rfam family "Eukaryotic small subunit ribosomal RNA", at positions 1786 to 1831 of the family's 1831-position model. RNAcentral also lists the same sequence under 1 other name. The record is from RNAcentral. Lineage: Eukaryota; Fungi; Ascomycota; Dothideomycetes; Botryosphaeriales; Botryosphaeriaceae.